AAUGAACGUUGGCGGCGUGGAUUAGGCAUGCAAGUCGCGCGAGAAACUAACUAGCUUGCUAGGAAGUGGACAGCGGCGGAAGGGAGAGUAACGUGUGGUUACUUGCCCUCGAGACCGGGAUAGUGCUGGGAAACUGGCAGUAAUACCGGAUAACAUCUUCGGAUCAAAUGGUGUGAUUCCGCUCGAGGAUAGGACCGCAUACUAUUAGCUUGUUGGUGAGGUAACGGCUCACCAAGGCUGCGAUGGUUACCGGGUGUGAGAGCAUGGCCCGGCUCACUGGGACUGAGACACUGCCCAGACACCUACGGGUGGCUGCAGUCGAGAAUCUUCGGCAAUGGACGAAAGUCUGACCGAGCGACGCCGCGUGCGGGAUGAAGGCCCUCGGGUUGUAAACCGCUGUCAGUUAGGAGGAAAUGCAUGAGGGUUCUCUCUCAUGUUUGACCGAUUUUCAGAGGAAGGACGGGCUAAGUUCG
This 473-nucleotide ribosomal RNA is filed under the name uncultured Planctomycetaceae bacterium. RNAcentral describes it as "bacterial SSU rRNA". It matches the Rfam family "Bacterial small subunit ribosomal RNA", at positions 29 to 505 of the family's 1533-position model. Lineage: Bacteria; Pseudomonadati; Planctomycetota; Planctomycetia; Planctomycetales; Planctomycetaceae. The record is from RNAcentral.